Molecule: long non-coding RNA, 1402 nt
Organism: Orcinus orca (killer whale)
Lineage: Eukaryota; Metazoa; Chordata; Mammalia; Artiodactyla; Delphinidae
Exons: 4
Source: RefSeq, a predicted model, not a curated record
UUUAGUAUAACAAAAUCUCAUGACAAGGAAAUAAGGAAAAGCCCACAGAAUUUAUUAUCAUAUGGUAAUACAUUUGUGUACAGUGUACGCAUGCAACUACACAGUACUAAUUGGGAGUGAUUGGAGAGGACUCCAUUCCACUUGAAUUUCAAAACUUUCAGAUAAUGAAAGUUUCAAACAAAUAUAAUUUUUAUCAUAAUAAAUACAUUCACUGACACAAACUACUGGUAAAUUGCUACCAAACUGAUUUCCUGCCAGACUUGAUUUAAUAAUUAAAACAUUCCUUAUAUUUAAAUGUGUCUUUAAAACAACCAGGAAGAUGAAUAAAACAGCAUAUUUUCCUCAAACAAUUCAUAGUCCAGAAAGCAGAGAGAGAAAAUUCUACAUAAGCACACCAGCAGGGACAAAAGCUUGAGAGAGACAGCUGCCACAAGUGAGGAGCACACAGAAUUCUAUAAAAAGCCCAAGGAAAGUGACCUAACUUGCAUGGGAGCUUCAAACUUACAGUAGGAUGCAUAGUCCUUGCACAAUAAAUGUUUGAUUUCAGUCACAACUUCGUGUUGUGUGUCAAAGUGUUAGGAAAGAGUUGGAAAGGGACUCAGAAUUUUCUGUUUCAAAAAUUCUCCUUUUACAGAUAAGAAGAGUUUUGAGAUCAGCUCUGAAAAUGGAGAGAUGAAGAGGAAAAAGAAAGAAUUCCAGCUGCCAUGAAAUCUGAAGUUGUGUGACCCUGAGCUCUGCCAACAACCUGAAGGAGCUUAGAAGUGGAUCCUUCCCCAGUCAAACCUCCAGAUGGGAACAGAGUCUAACCAACACCUUGAUAGUCUGUUUAACUGAUAAAUUAUCUGAUCUUGAUCAUGGAAGCAAAGCAGAAGUCUUAAACAGAUAAACAGUAUAAUCCAUCCCAUGGAAUUAGAGUGAAUCAGUUUAACACUUCAAGCAGAUUACAGGAUCAGUAGAAUUAGCAGAAGGAAAGUCAGUGCAUUUGCUGUUUUUGUUAAUAACUAAUGAUGGAGGGGCUUCCCUGGUGGUGCAAUGGAUGAGAAUCUGCCUGCCAAUGCAGGGAACAUGGUUUCGAUCCCCAGUUUGGGAAGAUCCCACAUGCCGCGGAGCAACUAAGCCUGUGCACCAAAACUGCUGAUCCUGCACUCUAGAACCCACAAGCCACAACUGCUGAGCCCGCGCGUCACAACUACUGAAGCCAGUGUGCCUCGAGCCCAUGCUCCACAACAAGAGAAGCCACUGCAGUGAGAAGCCUGAGCACCGCAAUGAAGACUAGCCCCCGCUCGCCGCAAGUAGAGAAAGACUGCGUGCAGCAAAGAAGAUCCAACACAGCCAAAAAUAAAUAAAUAAAAUAUCUUUAAAUUAAAAAAAACUAACUAAUGAUGGAAAUGUAAUGAGAUAU